This 435-nucleotide ribosomal RNA is filed under the name uncultured bacterium. Its description in RNAcentral is "partial 16S ribosomal RNA". It matches the Rfam family "Bacterial small subunit ribosomal RNA", at positions 29 to 507 of the family's 1533-position model. The record is from RNAcentral.
AACGAACGCUGGCGGCAUGCCUAACACAUGCAAGUCGAACGAUUGCCUUCGGGUGAUAGUGGCGCACGGGUGCGUAACGCGUGGGAAUCUGCCCUUAGGUUCGGAAUAACAGCUGGAAACGGCUGCUAAUACCGGAUGAUAUCGCGAGAUCAAAGAUUUAUCGCCUGAGGAUGUGCGCGCGUUGGAUUAGGUAGUUGGUGGGGUAAAGGCCUGCCAAGCCGACGAUCCAUAGCUGGUCUGAGAGGGUGGUCAGCCACAAUAGGACUGAGACACGGCCCAGAAUCCUACGGGGGGCAACAGUGGGGAAUAUUAGACAGUCGGGUCAAGUCUAGUCCAACUAUGGCGCGGAGGGGAAGAAGGGCCUAGGGUUGUAAAGCUCUUUUACCCGGGAAGAUAAUGACUGUACCGGAAGAAUAAGCCCCGGCUAACUCCGUG